Long non-coding RNA from Brassica napus (rape), 456 nucleotides. RefSeq lists it as uncharacterized. Lineage: Eukaryota; Viridiplantae; Streptophyta; Magnoliopsida; Brassicales; Brassicaceae. The record is from RefSeq and is a predicted model, not a curated record. The transcript has 2 exons.
GGUGAAUCUAUCUAUGGCUGGGACAAGAGAGAGCUUUCCUGAUUCUUGAUGAUACAGAGAAUGCAGCUACGUCUGCAGAUUAGAUAUUUUUCCCAAUGAGAGAGCGUUUUAUCUGAAGUAUCAAACUGCUGAUGGAAUAUGUAAGGCAAGGUUUACAUAUGAAACUGUCUCUACUUUUGGGUAACACACAACGAUAAGUAUUAAGGAAGAUGCACAUGAUGAUAAGAGCAAAGGGAGCUGAUUCAUCUUGCUACUCAGCUGAUUCAUCUUUGGAACCUGAUGGACACUCCUGAUGAAGAAAGGGAGCUGUUUGAUCACUUUACUUGUAAUCAUAUGAAAUAUAUAUAUGUUAGCUUCGGUCAAUUUAAUUUUAUUACCAAACUACAGUAGUUGUUGUGUUGCUGUAUUUGUAAAACUACAAUGCAAAUGCCAUAACUUUUAUGAAAAUGACUUUUG